UGUUGUCUUUCAUGUACUUGAGAUUUUACAUCUUUAUUUUGUUUGUUUUAUCUAUGCAAAUUUAUGUGUUGUUGAACUUACUGUUCUUGACCCUUUGGCAGGAGAAAGAGUUUAAAGUUGCAGUUCUCCUUAUUUUUGACAAUAAGCAGGAAGUAAAAAAUGUAUGAUAGGAGAUUUGGAGUUCGCUAGAAAAGCUCUGCCUGUAUGAUCAAAGAACACGAAUUCUGGAAUUCAGGACAAGGAACUUGCUUCUAUGAUCGAGAGUGUU
Molecule: long non-coding RNA, 268 nt
Organism: Rosa chinensis
Lineage: Eukaryota; Viridiplantae; Streptophyta; Magnoliopsida; Rosales; Rosaceae
Exons: 3
Source: RefSeq, a predicted model, not a curated record